This 478-nucleotide ribosomal RNA is filed under the name uncultured bacterium. RNAcentral describes it as "SSU rRNA". It matches the Rfam family "Bacterial small subunit ribosomal RNA", at positions 26 to 523 of the family's 1533-position model. The record is from RNAcentral.
AGGACGAACGCUGGCGGCGUGCUUAACACAUGCAAGUCGAACGGAAAGGCCCUUCGGGGUACUCGAGUGGCGAACGGGUGAGUAACACGUGGGUGAUCUGCCCUGCACUUUGGGAUAAGCCUGGGAAACUGGGUCUAAUACCGAAUAGGACCACGGCAUGCAUGUGCUGUGGUGGAAAGCUUUUGCGGUGUGGGAUGGGCCCGCGGCCUAUCAGCUUGUUGGUGGGGUGAUGGCCUACCAAGGCGACGACGGGUAGCCGGCCUGAGAGGGUGUCCGGCCACACUGGGACUGAGAUACGGCCCAGACUUCUACGGGAGGCAGCAGUGGGGAAUAUUGCACAAUGGGCGCAAGCCUGAUGCAGCGACGCCGCGUGGGGGAUGACGGCCUUCGGGUUGUAACCCUUUCAGUAGGGACGAAGCGCAAGUGACGGUACCUACAGAAGAAGCACCGGCCAACUACGUGCCAGCAGCCGCGGUAA